AAUCAACGCUGGCGGCGUGCCUCAGACAUGCAAGUCGAACGCGAAAGUCCCCUUCGGGGGACAAGUAGGGUGGCGCACGGGUGAGUAACACGUAGGUAAUCUACCUUCGGAUGGGGAAUAACAACCGGAAACGGUUGCUAAUACCGCAUAAUGCAGCGGCACCUAAUGGUGACAGUUGUUAAAGCGGGGGAUCGAAAGACCUCGCGUCUGAAGAGGAGCCUGCGGCGGAUUAGCUAGUUGGAAGGUAAUGGCUUACCAAGGCUACGAUCGGUAGCCGGCCUGAGAGGGCGGACGGCCACACUGGGACUGAGACACGGCCCAGACUCCUACGGGAGCAGCAGUGGGGAAUUGUUCGCAAUGGGCNCAAGCCUGACGACGCAACGCCGCGUGGAGGAUGAAGGUCUUCGGAUUGUAAGCUCCUGUUGCCCGGGACAAUAGCUCCGACCUAACACGUCGGAGUCUGACGGUACCGGGUGAGGAACGCCCCGGNUAACUCUGU
This 499-nucleotide ribosomal RNA is filed under the name uncultured bacterium. RNAcentral describes it as "bacterial SSU rRNA". It matches the Rfam family "Bacterial small subunit ribosomal RNA", at positions 32 to 506 of the family's 1533-position model. The record is from RNAcentral.